Long non-coding RNA from Gorilla gorilla gorilla (western lowland gorilla), 380 nucleotides. RefSeq lists it as uncharacterized. The record is from RefSeq and is a predicted model, not a curated record. NCBI's taxonomy places the organism in Eukaryota, Metazoa, Chordata, Mammalia, Primates, Hominidae. The transcript has 3 exons.
CUUAGAGGGACAUUCCGGCCCAAGGACUUACUAACUGGGUGACCUUGGGGCGAGAAUGUAGUCAUAGUUCCCUAAGCUUUAUGGGAAGAAGCUCAGAUCCACUCUUGCAGCGGGACACCGUGAGACAUCACUCCCAAGUGCAGAGGAACGGGUCAGUUCAUUUCAUAGACUCAAAUUACGGAUCCUUCAGAGGGUGAUGGGAAAGUUCCCUUUGCCCCGACAAUGUGUAUGCCCAGAGAAAAGACCAUGGCAGGACACAGCAAGAAGUCAGCCAUCUGAAAGCCAAGAAGAGAGGCCUCGGCAGAAGCCAAACCUGCCAACACCUUAAUCUUGGACUUCCGGUUUCCAGAACUUUGAGAAAAUACAUUUCUGUUGUUUAA